RNAcentral lists this ribosomal RNA (497 nucleotides) under uncultured bacterium. RNAcentral's name for it is "partial 16S ribosomal RNA". It matches the Rfam family "Bacterial small subunit ribosomal RNA", at positions 28 to 507 of the family's 1533-position model. The record is from RNAcentral.
GAUGAACGCUGGCGGCGUGCCUAAUACAUGCAAGUCGAGCGAACGGACGAGAAGCUUGCUUCUCUGAUGUUAGCGGCGGACGGGUGAGUAACACGUGGAUAACCUACCUAUAAGACUGGGAUAACUUCGGGAAACCGGAGCUAAUACCGGAUAAUAUUUUGAACCGCAUGGUUCAAAAGUGAAAGACGGUCUUGCUGUCACUUAUAGAUGUAUCCGCGCUGCAUUAGCUAGUUGGUAAGGUAACGGCUUACCAAGGCAACGAUGCAUAGCCGACCUGGGAGGGUGAUCGGCCACACUGGAACUGAGACACGGUCCAGACUCCUACGGGAGGCAGCAGUAGGGAAUCUUCCGCAAUGGGCGAAAGCCUGACGGAGCAACGCCGCGUGAGUGAUGAAGGUCUUCGGAUCGUAAAACUCUGUUAUUAGGGAAGAACAUAUGUGUAAGUAACUGUGCACAUCUUGACGGUACCUAAUCAGAAAGCCACGGCUAACUACGUG